Molecule: ribosomal RNA, 255 nt
Filed under: uncultured bacterium
Lineage: Bacteria
Description: partial 16S ribosomal RNA
Rfam family: Bacterial small subunit ribosomal RNA
Source: RNAcentral
UACGUAGGACGCGAGUGUUGUCCGGAUUUAUUGGGCGUAAAGGGCUCGUAGGCGGCGUGUCGCGUCGGGGAGUGAAAGCCCGCUGCUUAACGGCGGGUUGGCUUCCGGUACGGGCAGGCUGGAGUGCGGCAGGGGGAGACUGGAAUUCCUGGUGUAGCGGUGGAAUGCGCAGAUAUCAGGAGGAACACCGAUGGCGAAGGCAGAUCUCUGGGCCGUAACUGACGCUGAGGAGCGAAAGCGUGGGGAGCAAACAGG